Molecule: ribosomal RNA, 279 nt
Filed under: uncultured bacterium
Lineage: Bacteria
Description: partial 16S ribosomal RNA
Rfam family: Bacterial small subunit ribosomal RNA
Source: RNAcentral
UGCCAGCAGCCGCGGUAAGACGAACCGUGCAAACGUUGUUCGGAAUCACUGGGCUUAAGGGGUGCGUAGGCGGCUUUGUAAGUCGGGUGUGAAAUCCCUCGGCUCAACCGAGGAACUGCAUUCGAUACUGCAUGGCUUGAGGGAGAUAGGGGCGCGUGGAACUUCGGGUGGAGCGGUGAAAUGCGUUGAGAUCCGAAGGAACGCCGGUGGCGAAAGCGACGCGCUGGGUCUCCUCUGACGCUGAGGCACGAAAGCUAGGGGAGCAAACAGGAUUAGGUA